AGCCCACAUGGUUAAGAAGUGCCUGCUCAGAUAAUAAGUCAUUGUAAAUAUGGUAACAUACAAACAGAAAAGCAUGCAGGUAAGGCAAUGCAUUUAAAUCAUCAUUUUGUAGAAGGCCUUAGUGACAUGAAUACUUUCCGAUGUGCCAAAAAAUAAAAAUAAAAAAAACACACCAUUGAACCUUUUAUGUUAACUCUUUUGAUCAUUCACAAUUAUCAAGAAUAUAACACCUCACUAGAUGGGGAUUUACACACAUUUUACCAUUGUUCAAAAUCUUUCAUUCCCUUCCAUAAGCCACCAACGGCUUAAAGCCCAAUACCAAUGUUUUUGCAGCUUAUAGUUGUCAUAUUAUUAAGUACUGACCCUAUUGCUGCUAUAAGUUGGCAACUUAG
Molecule: unclassified non-coding RNA, 392 nt
Filed under: Hevea brasiliensis (rubber tree)
Lineage: Eukaryota; Viridiplantae; Streptophyta; Magnoliopsida; Malpighiales; Euphorbiaceae
Source: RNAcentral